This 376-nucleotide ribosomal RNA is filed under the name uncultured organism. Its description in RNAcentral is "partial 16S ribosomal RNA". It matches the Rfam family "Bacterial small subunit ribosomal RNA", at positions 527 to 896 of the family's 1533-position model. The record is from RNAcentral.
GUAGGUGGCAAGCGUUGUCCGGGAAUUAUUGGGGCGUAAAGCGCGCGCAGGCGGUUCUUUAAGUCUGAUGUGAAAGCCCACGGGCUCAACCGUGGAGGGUCAUUGGAAACUGGAGAACUUGAGUACAGAAGAGGAAAGCGGAAUUCCACGUGUAGCGGUGAAAUGCGUAGAGAUGUGGAGGAACACCAGUGGCGAAGGCGGCUUUCUGGUCUGUAACUGACGCUGAGGCGCGAAAGCGUGGGGAGCAAACAGGAUUAGAUACCCUGGUAGUCCACGCCGUAAACGGUGAGUGCUAAGUGUUAGGGGGGUUUCCGCCCCUUAGUGCUGCAGCUAUCGCAUUAAGCACUCCGCCUGGGGAGUACGGCCGCAAAGGCUG